RNAcentral lists this ribosomal RNA (253 nucleotides) under uncultured bacterium. RNAcentral describes it as "partial 16S ribosomal RNA". It matches the Rfam family "Bacterial small subunit ribosomal RNA", at positions 524 to 776 of the family's 1533-position model. The record is from RNAcentral.
UACGUAGGGUGCAAGCGUUGUCCGGAGUUAUUGGGCGUAAAGAGCUCGUAGGCGGUCUGUCACGUCGGCUGUGAAAACCCGAGGCUCAACCUCGGGCCUGCAGUCGAUACGGGCAAACUAGAGUACUGCAGGGGAGACUGGAAUUCCUGGUGUAGCGGUGAAAUGCGCAGAUAUCAGGAGGAACACCGGUGGCGAAGGCGGGUCUCUGGGCAGUAACUGACGCUGAGGAGCGAAAGCGUGGGGAGCGAACAGG